RNAcentral lists this long non-coding RNA (348 nucleotides) under Mytilus galloprovincialis (Mediterranean mussel). The record is from RNAcentral. Lineage: Eukaryota; Metazoa; Mollusca; Bivalvia; Mytilida; Mytilidae.
AAAACAUAGGACGUUUGAGCGCCAAAGUAGAACCCAUUUGAGCGCCAGAAUUUUAACCCAUUUUAGCGAAAAUUAAAAUUGUCAAAGCCCAUUUUUGCGAAAUAUUUUAAACCCUUAUUAGUAAAUACAUAAUAUAUAAUAAAUUUUAAAAAGUUUAAUAGACUCAAGACAUGUCCAUUAAAAUACAGCACUAAUAGACUCAAGACAGCACAACACAAAACAAUAUAUAAGUUUUCAAUUAAAAUACAGAACGAAAAGUCUAAUAGGUUAAAUCAAAUGUUAAAAGUCUGUUCUAGCCUGGAAUUUAUAAGCUAGAGAACGUACGUAAUUGGCUCUAGAUAUACCCCC